UACAGAGGGUGCGAGCGUUGUCCGGAAUCACUGGGCGUAAAGGGCGCGUAGGUGGCGCCCCAAGUCCGUGGUGAAAGCUCGAUGCUUAACAUCGAGUCGGCCACGGAGACUGGGGGGCUCGAGCACUGUAGGGGCAGAUGGAAUUCCGGGUGUAGCGGUGGAAUGCGUAGAGAUCCGGAAGAACACCGGUGGCGAAGGCGGUCUGCUGGGCAGUUGCUGACACUGAGGCGCGACAGCGUGGGGAGCAAACAGG
Molecule: ribosomal RNA, 253 nt
Filed under: uncultured bacterium
Lineage: Bacteria
Description: partial 16S ribosomal RNA
Rfam family: Bacterial small subunit ribosomal RNA
Source: RNAcentral